Trifolium pratense (red clover) is the source of this 82-nucleotide small nucleolar RNA. RefSeq annotates it as small nucleolar RNA Z122. The transcript has a single exon. The record is from RefSeq and is a predicted model, not a curated record. NCBI's taxonomy places the organism in Eukaryota, Viridiplantae, Streptophyta, Magnoliopsida, Fabales, Fabaceae.
UUUGGGAUAUGAUGAUAAGAAUGCUUACAGAGGCAUUAGCUCUGCUGAAUUAUACUUAUUUGCACGUCAGUCUGAUCCUAAA